UACAGAGGGGGCAAGCGUUGUUCGGAAUUACUGGGCGUAAAGGGCGCGUAGGCGGCCUGUUAAGUCGAACGUGAAAUCCCUGGGCUCAACCCAGGAACUGCGUCCGAUACUGGCAGGCUUGAAUCCGGGAGAGGGAUGUGGAAUUCCAGGUGUAGCGGUGAAAUGCGUAGAUAUCUGGAGGAAUACCGGUGGCGAAGGCGGCAUCCUGGACCGGCAUUGACGCUGAGGAGCGAAAGCGUGGGGAGCGAACAGG
This 253-nucleotide ribosomal RNA is filed under the name uncultured bacterium. RNAcentral's name for it is "partial 16S ribosomal RNA". It matches the Rfam family "Bacterial small subunit ribosomal RNA", at positions 524 to 776 of the family's 1533-position model. The record is from RNAcentral.